Long non-coding RNA from Gallus gallus (chicken), 1117 nucleotides. RefSeq lists it as uncharacterized. The record is from RefSeq and is a predicted model, not a curated record. The transcript is spliced from 2 exons. Lineage: Eukaryota; Metazoa; Chordata; Aves; Galliformes; Phasianidae.
AAAUGCCCCUCUUUUCUAUGAAUACCUAACAGUCCAAGUGAGGAGAAAGACAGCGACUUGUAUAGCAGAGGCAUAUCACCUUGCAAAGACCUUCAAUGGAAGGAGUUUAAACAUCUGAUUCUCUCAAUUCUAGCUUGCAGAGAAAAAAAAUCUUUACCUGGUAGAAAAAAAAAACACAGUGAGAAACAAUUAAAUAAAUAUUCCGUGUUUCCUUGUAAUCUUUAAAGGCCUCAUUAUUGAAAAAUUUUACAAACACUUUCAAAAAAUAUAUGUCUAACUAAAUGGCACUUCACUAAGAUCUGCUUUAAUUUGCAUCCAUACAAAAAUAAAGCAAUUUAAUGGUACAUAUAAUGUAGCUGAGAACAGAGUUCAUUCUGAAUGCUUACGGCUCUCUUGACCUAUAGAUAAUCAGAGUGGAUUUGAAAAGCAGCUAGAAACAGAACAUGAACCUCUGAGGCAUCUCCCCCUGUGGUCCGGAGAACAAAACUGUGAUCUUUAAGGACAGAUGUAAAGAAGAAAAAUUAUAUUAGUUGUGAUUCCUGAGCCACGUCCCCUGAACACGACUGAUGCAUUCAAUCUGUUCUGUCACAACAGGAAAACAUUCCGGGGUCCUCUUUCCUCCUACUCUUUCUCCCAGGCAGAACCAGAAGUGCUUUGGGCCACCACUGCCCUUUGCCUUCUACAGCAGCUCCCUUUGGUUGCCCACGGCAGUGCAACAGGGAGAGACACAGCGGGUUUGUUUGCUUGUUUGUUUUUAAUUUGUCUUGUGGCCACAGAACUUUUGGUACACUCACAUCGUGUUUUCAAGUCUAAGUUGGACUGCAGGCAAGGUCUUCAAAGCUGCCGUGCUGCUGCCCUCUGAACAUCAGCAAAUGCAAGGGAUGCACCCCUAGUCACCUCAUGAGACAUGAGACUCAGACUCGCAGCACUACAGUUGGAGGCUGUCCUACAAGAAGACAGCAAUGCUGCGCUCCAACUUCAGCUUGAAUCACAUCCUUCUUUAUGCUAAUUUAAUUGUACAUAAAGAAAAUCAACACCCAGAAGCGAAGCUGUACAUUGCAGCUGUACUCAGACAAUGACAGAGAAGUAAAGGAGGAAACCACGCUACUGAAGAAAA